CAGCCGCCGCGGGAAUACGUAGGUCCCGAGCGUUGUCCGGAUUUAUUGGGCGUAAAGGGAGCGCAGGCGGUUUAGUAAGUCUGAAGUUAAAGGCAUUGGCUCAACCAAUGUAUGCUUUGGAAACUGUUAGACUUGAGUGCAGAAGGGGAGAGUGGAAUUCCAUGUGUAGCGGUGAAAUGCGUAGAUAUAUGGAGGAACACCGGUGGCGAAAGCGGCUCUCUGGUCUGUCACUGACGCUGAGGCUCGAAAGCGUGGGUAGCGAACAGGAUUAGAUACCCCUGUAGUCCCUGUCUCUUAUACA
This 301-nucleotide ribosomal RNA is filed under the name uncultured bacterium. RNAcentral describes it as "partial 16S ribosomal RNA". It matches the Rfam family "Bacterial small subunit ribosomal RNA", at positions 509 to 808 of the family's 1533-position model. The record is from RNAcentral.